RNAcentral lists this ribosomal RNA (460 nucleotides) under uncultured bacterium. RNAcentral's name for it is "partial 16S ribosomal RNA". It matches the Rfam family "Bacterial small subunit ribosomal RNA", at positions 338 to 795 of the family's 1533-position model. The record is from RNAcentral.
CCUACGGGAGGCAGCAGUGAGGAAUAUUGGUCAAUGGGCGCGAGCCUGAACCAGCCAAGUCGCGUGAGGGAUGAAUGCUCUACGGAUUGUAAACUUCUUUUAUAAUGGAACAAAGUGAGGGACGCGUGCCGUUUCGCAUGUACUUUAUGAAUAAGGAUCGGCUCAAUCCGUGCCAGCAGCCGCGGUAAUACGGAGGAUCCUAGCGUUAUCCGGAUUUAUUGGGUUUAAAGGGAGCGUAGAUGGCGUGUUAAGUCAGUUGUGAAAGUUUGCGGCUCAACCUUAGAAUUGCAGUUGAUACUGGCGGGCUUGAGUACGGGUGAGGUAGGCGGAAUGCGUGGUGUAGCGGUGAAAUGCUUAGAUAUCACGAAGAACUCCGAUUGCGAAGGCAGCUUACUAGACAGCCACUGACAUUGAGGCUCGAAAGCGUGGGUAUCAAACAGGAUUAGAUACCCGAGUAGUC